AUGCAGAUGGUGUCCUGCGGUCGCACUGCCGUGAACAUCAAUGGCGAGAUCGGCCCUUACUUACCCACUCUUUGUGGGGUUAGACAAGGCGACCCCUUCUCCCCAUUCUUGUUUAACAUGGUGGCGGAUGCGCUUGCCGCCAUCCUGGACAAGGCUAAGGCUGCGGGCCAUAUUCGUGGGAUCACCCCCCACCUGGCCGGCGGCUCCGGGAGCUCCCUUCUCCAGUACGCUGACGACACCAUCAUCAUGGUA
RNAcentral lists this ribosomal RNA (252 nucleotides) under Triticum aestivum (bread wheat). RNAcentral describes it as "partial small subunit ribosomal RNA". The record is from RNAcentral. Lineage: Eukaryota; Viridiplantae; Streptophyta; Magnoliopsida; Poales; Poaceae.